Molecule: ribosomal RNA, 492 nt
Filed under: uncultured bacterium
Lineage: Bacteria
Description: partial 16S ribosomal RNA
Rfam family: Bacterial small subunit ribosomal RNA
Source: RNAcentral
GAUGAACGCUAGCUACAGGCUUAACACAUGCAAGUCGAGGGGAAACGGCAUCGAAAGCUUGCUUUUGAUGGGCGUCGACCGGCGCACGGGUGAGUAACGCGUAUCCAACCUGCCCAUCACUUGGGAAUAACCUUGCGAAAGUAAGACUAAUGCCCAAUGACAUCCCACGAAGGCAUCCGAAUGGGAUUAAAGAUUUAUCGGUGAUGGAUGGGGAUGCGUCUGAUUAGCUUGUUGGCGGGGUGACGGCCCACCAAGGCAACGAUCAGUAGGGGUUCUGAGAGGAAGGUCCCCCACGUUGGAACUGAGACACGGUCCAAACUCCUACGGGAGGCAGCAGUGAGGAAUAUUGGUCAAUGGGCGAGAGCCUGAACCAGCCAAGUAGCGUGCAGGAUGACGGCCCUAUGGGUUGUAAACUGCUUUUAUAAGGGAAUAAAGUGGGUCACGUGUGACUUUUUGCAUGUACCUUAUGAAUAAGGACCGGCUAAUUCCGUG